Molecule: ribosomal RNA, 786 nt
Filed under: uncultured bacterium
Lineage: Bacteria
Description: bacterial SSU rRNA
Rfam family: Bacterial small subunit ribosomal RNA
Source: RNAcentral
AGAGUUUGAUCCUGGCUCAGAGUUAACGCUGGCAGCGUGCAUAACACAUGCAAGUCGAGCGGAACUACUUGAGAUUAUAUCAAAGGUAGUUUAGCGGCAAACGAGUGAGUAACACGUAAGAAUCUGCCCCGAAGUGGAGACAACCUGCCGAAAGGUGGGCUAAUACUCCCAUAUAAUCCUCUGGUGCAUCACCUAGGGAUGAAAGCCGUAAGGCGCUACGGGAGGAUCUUGCGACCUAUCAGCUAGUUGGCGGGGUAACGGCCCACCAAGGCUUUGACGGGUAGCCGGCCUGAAAGGGCGAUCGGCCACGGAGGCACUGAGAAACGGGCCUCACUCCUACGGGAGGCAGCAGUGGGGAAUUUUGGACAAUGGGGGAAACCCUGAUCCAGCAACGCUGCGUGAAGGACGAAGGUCUUCGGAUUGUAAACUUCUUUUGUUCGGGACGAAUACCCGCAAGGGUUUGACGGUACCGGAUGAAUAAGCCACGGCUAACUACGUGCCAGCAGCCGCGGUAAGACGUAGGUGGCGAGCGUUACUCGGAAUCACUAGGCGUAAAGCGCGCGCAGGUGGGUGCUUAAGUCUGCUGUGAAAUCUCCCGGCUUAACUGGGAGGGGUCAGCGGAUACUGGGCGUCUGGAGUCGGGUAGGGGGUGCUGGAAUUCCCGGUAGCGGUGAAAUGCGUAGAUAUCGGGAGGAACACCAAUGGCUAACGCAGGCACCUGGGCCUUGACUGACACUGAGGCGCGAAAGCUAGGGGAGCAAACAGGAUUAGAUACCCUAGUAGUCC